UACGUGGGGAGCAAGCGUUGUUCGGAUUUACUGGGCGUAAAGGGCGCGUAGGCGGUCGUGACAAGUCACUUGUGAAAUCUCCGGGCUUAACCCGGAAAGGUCAAGUGAUACUGUCGGACUAGAGUACAGAAGGGGCAACUGGAAUUCUCGGUGUAGCGGUGAAAUGCGUAGAUAUCGAGAGGAACACCUGCGGCGAAGGCGGGUUGAUGGGCUGAUACUGACGCUGAUGCGCGAAAGCUAGGGGAGCGAACGGG
Molecule: ribosomal RNA, 254 nt
Filed under: uncultured bacterium
Lineage: Bacteria
Description: partial 16S ribosomal RNA
Rfam family: Bacterial small subunit ribosomal RNA
Source: RNAcentral